GCCGUCAUAGCUCAGGGGUAGAGCACUUCCAUGGUAAGGAAGGGGUCGUUGGUUCAAUUCCAAUUGACGGCACCA
RNAcentral lists this transfer RNA (75 nucleotides) under Mycoplasma phocoeninasale. RNAcentral describes it as "Mycoplasma sp. C264-NAS tRNA-Thr". It matches the Rfam family "tRNA". From Rfam's summary of the family: Transfer RNA (tRNA) molecules are approximately 80 nucleotides in length. Their secondary structure includes four short double-helical elements and three loops (D, anti-codon, and T loops). The record is from RNAcentral. Lineage: Bacteria; Bacillati; Mycoplasmatota; Mollicutes; Mycoplasmatales; Mycoplasmataceae.